GUCUAAGUACACACGGGCGGUACAGUGAAACUGCGAAUGGCUCAUUAAAUCAGUUAUGGUUCCUUUGGUCGCUCCUCUCCCGCUCCUUGGAUAACUGUGGUAAUUCUAGAGCUAAUACAUGCCGACGAGCGCCGACCUCCGGGGACGCGUGCAUUUAUCAGACCAAAACCAACCCGGGCCCGCCCGGCAGCUUUGGUGACUCUAGAUAACCUCGAGCCGAUCGCACGCCCCCGCGGCGGCGACGACCCAUUCGAAUGUCUGCCCUAUCAACUUUCGAUGGUACUGUCUGUGCCUACCAUGGUGACCACGGGUGACGGGGAAUCAGGGUUCGAUUCCGGAGAGGGAGCCUGAGAAACGGCUACCACAUCCAAGGAAGGCAGCAGGCGCGCAAAUUACCCACUCCCGACCCGGGGAGGUAGUGACGAAAAAUAACAAUACAGGACUCUUUCGAGGCCCUGUAAUUGGAAUGAGCGCACUUUAAAUCCUUGAGCGAGGAUCCAUUGGAGGGCAAGUCUGGUGCCAGCAGCCGCGGUAAUUCCAGCUCCAAUAGCGUAUCUUAAAGUUGCUGCAGUUAAAAAGCUCGUAGUUGGAUCUUGGGAUCGAGCUGGCGGUCCGCCGCGAGGCGAGCCACCGCCUGUCCCAGCCCCUGCCUCUCGGCGCCCCCUCGAUGCUCUUAGCUGAGUGUCCCGCGGGGUCCGAAAGCGUUUACUUUGAGAAAAU
RNAcentral lists this ribosomal RNA (720 nucleotides) under Spilopelia senegalensis (laughing dove). RNAcentral's name for it is "SSU rRNA". It matches the Rfam family "Eukaryotic small subunit ribosomal RNA", at positions 57 to 766 of the family's 1831-position model. The record is from RNAcentral. Lineage: Eukaryota; Metazoa; Chordata; Aves; Columbiformes; Columbidae.